UGGGGAAUCUUGCGCAAUGGGCGAAAGCCUGACGCAGCGACGCCGCGUGUGGGAUGAAGGCCUUCGGGUCGUAAACCACUGUCGGGAGGGACGAAGCUCUGACGGUACCUCCAAAGGAAGCACCGGCUAACUCUGUGCCAGCAGCCGCGGUAAUACAGAGGGUGCGAGCGUUGUCCGGAAUUACUGGGCGUAAAGGGCGCGUAGGCGGUUCGAUAAGUCGGGGGUGAAAUGCUGCGGCUCAACCGGAGCAUGGCCUUCGAGACUGUCGAGCUGGAGCACGGUAGGGGCUGGCGGAAUUCCUGGUGUAGCGGUGGAAUGCGUAGAGAUCAGGAAGAACACCGGUGGCGAAGGCGACCAGCUGGGCCGUUGCUGACGCUGAGGCGCGACAGCGUGGGGAGCAAACAGG
This 406-nucleotide ribosomal RNA is filed under the name Bacillota bacterium. RNAcentral describes it as "Firmicutes bacterium partial 16S ribosomal RNA". It matches the Rfam family "Bacterial small subunit ribosomal RNA", at positions 355 to 776 of the family's 1533-position model. The record is from RNAcentral. Lineage: Bacteria; Bacillati; Bacillota.